UUAUAAAGUUAAGCCCAAUAGUGAUCUUCUUUGGAGAAUGCAGUUUCUAAGAGAGAAGAAUUUCAAACAGAGAAUUGGAGCAGUAAAAGUAGAAGAAGGAGAAGAAAUUAGCCAUGAAAUUGCUACAAUUGCAUUGCGUAGAGCUGUCCAUUUCUUCUCAGCUUUACAGGCUACUGAUGGACAUUGGCCUGCUGAAAAUGCCGGUCCUCUCUUCUUCCUUCCACCUCUCGUUAUGAGUAU
This is a long non-coding RNA of Solanum tuberosum (potato), 240 nucleotides long. RefSeq lists it as uncharacterized. NCBI's taxonomy places the organism in Eukaryota, Viridiplantae, Streptophyta, Magnoliopsida, Solanales, Solanaceae. The record is from RefSeq and is a predicted model, not a curated record. The transcript is spliced from 3 exons.